UCACCUUCUAAAGAUACUUCAUCAUAAUAGGAUCUCGGACUUCAAAUUUGCUCUUAACCUGUUCAGCAAUUAAUUGUGAGUUGGUGAAGACCUUCAGACUUUCGAUGUCAAGCUCUUUGACAAUUUUUAAGCCGACUAAGAGUGCUUCAUAUUCGACUUGAUUAUUAGAAGCUUUGAAAUCAAAUCGGAGGGCAUAUUCAAAUAUAACCCCUUCAGAGUUGGUGA
RNAcentral lists this long non-coding RNA (225 nucleotides) under Elaeis guineensis (African oil palm). RNAcentral's name for it is "long non-coding RNA (EGUI_LNC035398)". The record is from RNAcentral. Lineage: Eukaryota; Viridiplantae; Streptophyta; Magnoliopsida; Arecales; Arecaceae.